This 4654-nucleotide unclassified non-coding RNA is filed under the name Leishmania donovani. RNAcentral describes it as "gene:LdHU3.25.0970(CDS-product:DNA_repair_protein _putative)". The record is from RNAcentral. Lineage: Eukaryota; Euglenozoa; Kinetoplastea; Trypanosomatida; Trypanosomatidae.
CGUGUCGUUUUCGGCUGCGUUAGUGUUCCACACACGUGAUAAUCGUAGCGCACGCUGCCUGGUAGCUCGAUUCAAUUACGACAAGUGUUUUCUGCUCUCGUGGCUCGCCAACACACACACACACACACACACACACACAAGGUCGUUUCCUUUUGCACAUGUGGGGCACCAGCGGUGCCUGUGAUUUACUUUUCUGUGAACUGAAGCUCUUCGUGAGGGGAGACGCAAACGGCCGGUGACCUCAGAGCUAACGUACACAAGCCGCAAGCACAGUCUCCUGGAGACACUCAAAAACGCUGUUGUUUUCGUAGCACACCCUAUUAUCUCUGCCGCCGCAGAAGGCUAUAACUGCCUUUGUGCUUUCUCCUUCAGGUAAUAAUGUCGAACUUCGCCAAACAUCCCGAUCUUACGCUAAACGAGCGGCUGGUUUGGCGGCCAGCGAAGGGCAAGGAGCAUGUCUACAACUACAUUGUGCAAAAGUCUCCGACGGCCAGGGCACGAUGUCGGAAGUGCUCGCAGCUGAUCCCGAAGGGGGAGAUGCGAGUAGGUGUGCCCAUUCGCCACAACGCAGGCGAUAAUGGGUGGAUCUCUGCGUGGCAGCACCUUGGCUGCACCCGCAUGGAGAGAAGUGAGUCAGAGGACUACAAAAACACCAUGCAUGGGUUUGCGGCAUUGAAGCCAGAGGAACAAGCGCAUGUGGUAAAUGAGGUCAAUUCUACGGAGGUGCCAGAGCAUCUCAAGCCGCUGGACCCGGAGGACUUGGUGCACCGAGGUAAGAUGGAGCAAAUGACACCACCGUCGACGCUGCUGCGGCACCUGUUGCCUUAUCAGAAGGAGGGAAUGGGGUGGAUGGUGCGCCAGGAGGUCGAGUCUCCCGUCAAGGGCGGCAUUCUUGCAGACGAGAUGGGCAUGGGCAAAACUAUCCAGACCAUUGGAAUGAUGCUCGCGCACCGCAUAAACGGUCCCACGCUCGUUGUCUGUCCGGUUAGCUCCAUGUUGCAAUGGGAGGCUGAAAUCAAGGAGCAUGUGGUCCCUGGGUCGCUAUCGGUAGUCGUCGUAUACCGCACCACAAAGGUGACCAAGGAGGAGCUGGAGAGCGCGGAUGUUGUCCUCACCACUUACCCAAUGCUGGAGCAGGCCUGGCGCGCUCUCAUUAACGAGAUAAAAGUACCGUGUCCCUAUUGUGAGCUGCUCUUCAUUCCUCGUCAGUUGGUGGUGCACAACAAGUACUUCUGUGGUCCGCGCGCCAAGAAGACACAGAAGCAGGCGAAGCGCGAAAAGCACACCACGCCUGCGGCGGCGAGUAGCUCAAGGGGUGUGCAGUCUGACGAAACCAUUCGAAAGGGGUUGCGAACACUCCACGUAGACAUGGGUGACGAAGAGGGGGCCGAGGCGGAGGUCAAUGCGCCCAAUACUACGACGGCACAGCCACAGCGGAAGCGAGGUCGCAAGGGCGCGACCAACGUCGAGGAUGACCCGGCUGGGAAGGUCAACGGUUGUGGCACCCCGACAGCCAAGAAGGAGAAGCAGGAAGAGUCGGAGAGUAAGGUGGCCAGUGGCUGCCGAUCGCCAGCCGAGAAGGCUAAUCGAAAGUGCCCCGUCAAGGCGGAGGAUCACAAUGAUGAGGGGGCCGCUCUGGCUCAAAAAGGCAAGGUGCUCCAGCCAGCUGCGGCUUCGCGGGGGGUUGUUGGACCGAUCGGCAUGUACCAGGAACUUAUGCGGGAAGCCGGCCGAACCGUGCUCAGUCGCUGGGACGCGGCGAGGAAGGAUGACGAGAGCAGCAGCGAUGAGGAGGUCGAGGAUGAGUCCAGCGAGGAAAGUGACAGCGACGCAUCGAAUUUGUCGUACAACUCUGCGGCUGCUGCUGCCGAGGAAGCGGCUGCGGCGGAGCAAGCUUCCAAAGCCCUGGAGGCGUUCCGCUGCGCCGCUUGCCACUUUCAGCUGCUGCGGUACCCUUUCUGCCCCAGGAAUGGCCAGCACCACGUUGUCAGAGAGGAGCUUCGAGACAUCAUCGAAAAGGACACUGGCGGCGACGAUGUCGACCUCGAUGCUUCCAUCUUCCACUCCAUCAAGUGGGCGCGCGUUAUCCUGGACGAGGCGCACCGCAUCAAAGGUCGAACAACGAGCACGGCCCGCUCUGCCUUCGCCUUGGCGGCCGAGUACCGAUGGUGCCUCACCGGCACCCCACUACAGAAUCGUGUUGGUGAUCUAUACAGUCUUCUGCGCUUUUUGCGCAUGCGGCCAUACGCACACUACUACUGCGAAACGGAAGGCUGCUCGUGCGCCUCGCUCUCGCACCCCUUCUCGUCCACCUCGCUUCAUCAGUGCGUCUUCUGCGGUCAUGGACCGCUGCAGCACCACUCCUAUUUCAACCGCUACAUUCUCAAUCCGAUCAACCGCUAUGGCUACAUCGGAGACGGGCGACGCGGUAUGAUGAUGCUGUCUAACGACGUAUUUUCCCGGGCAAUGCUGCGCCGCACCAAGGUCGAGCGGGCCGCCGACCUGCAGUUGCCGUCGUUGACAAUCGAGGUGCACUGCAUCAAGCUCACGAAGGAGGAGCGUAACUUUUACGAGUCCCUGUACAAGAAGAGCACGGCGGAGUUCGAUACGUUCGUGCACAAGGGCACAGUGCUGCACAACUACGCACACAUUUUCCAGCUGCUUAGUCGUCUGCGCCAGGCCCUCGACAACCCACUGCUUGUGAUGCAGGGCAUGGAUGUUGGCCCUGUGGUGAACGUCAAGGGAGUGUGCGGCAUCUGUGGCGACGGCAUCGAGGGCGAGAGCGCUCUGAAGGUGCACCCGUGCCGGCACCAGUUUCACCGACUUUGUCUCGGCCAAUUCCUGGAGAGCGCACCGGACAAGGAGCUCCACUGCCCCACCUGCUUUGUACGAAUCAACGUGGAUCUGCGGCAGCUGCGACAGGAUGCGGAGGACGACGAUGACGAGGGCGUCUGCGGCUUUGCGGCAGCGUUGCCUCCCGAGCUGGAAGAUGAGGUCAACUCUGAGAUCACUGAGGACGACGAGCAGGCGCAAGCGUUGCAGCAUGUGGAGAGUAAGGUUAAGCGGCGCACAGCGCACGCCAAGCCGACCAAAAAGGAGCAGCGCGGCAUUUUCGCCCGGUUGGACCCGCAGAAGCCGCUGCACGGCACGAAGCUCGAUGCCAUCGCUAACUACAUAGAGAAAGUUCCGAAAGACGAAAAGGUGGUUGUCUUCUCGCAGUUUGGCAGCAUGCUAGACCUGACGCAGUAUUGGCUGCAGCGCCGCUCUAUAAGGGCUGUAAAGCUGUGUGGGUCACUGACGUUGACGCAGCGGCAGUCGGUGUUGCAGGCCUUCCUGCAUGACCAAAACGUGCGCGUCAUCCUCAUCUCCCUGAAGGCAGGCGGAGAGGGUUUGAACCUGCAGGUGGCCAAUCACGUGGUGCUGACCGAUCCGUGGUGGAACCCAGCGGUCGAGAUGCAGGCCGUGCAGCGAGCGCACCGAAUCGGGCAGACCCGCCCGGUUCACGCCGUCCGCUUUGUCACGGAGCACUCAGUGGAGGAGCGCAUGGUCGACCUGCAGGACAAGAAGAUGCUCGUUUUCGAGGGCACCAUUGACGGCAAGUUGCAGUCGCUCAACAAGCUCACCGAGGAGGAUCUGCAGUUCCUCUUUACAAGGUAGCGUAGAGGAAAGCGAGAGCGCGCGCGGCCACCAUGUGCCAGCGGUGUGUGCGUGGAUAUCUGUGUGGGUGUGCAGAACGACCACAUCGCUGGCAAACGUGGUGGCCAACAGCGAGAGUUCGUGUGCGUCGCGAGGAGAGUAAUGACCACCACCCGGGGCGCUCUCUUUUUCCCCUCUUGUCGCACCUGUUUGCUGUGUUCCUUAACACAAGGCGACUCAACAUGACGCGGCUCUUUCUUUCCCUCCUCGUUCACCAUUGCCAAAUACACGCACACACACAAACACAUGCAUACAUAUAGUGCUGUCUUCUUCGUCACUAUCGUCAGCUUUUUUUUAUGUUCUGCUUUUCCUAAACACUGUUGCCCCUCCCCUCUCCUCUCCCCUCCCUGAUGCUCCUGCGAAACGAUUUCACCCCGCCUGCUCUCCCUCACCGCCGUGAACUGACGUUUCCAGGGCGCAUGGCAAACGGCACGCAUGCCAGCCGCCUGGCCCCCCCCCCACCAUCUGCCACUAGUGCUCGUGCUCGUGCUCCUACUCCCAUGACGGACCCUCCCUCUUUUUCCUCUUUUUUUCUUGUCACCGCGUUUCAAGAGCCUCUUCCGUUUUUUCCUCGCUGGUGUCGCUGUUGACUCUCCUGGCGUGCGAUGAGCCUCCAUCCUCCCCUACACUACCUCCUCCCCCUCCAAAGGAAGCAAGACCCUUCACCGCCUAUCCACCUCCCCACCUCCCUCCAGCGCAGCUCAGUCGAAAUCUUUUCCUUUUCUGCUUUUUCAGCCGGUCACUAUCGUAAAGUAACACAUUCCCUGUUAUUUCUCCACCACUUCGCAUCUCUCCCUCUCUCCCCGCGCUGCCGGCACACUCCUGCCUGUGCGAGACUUUUUAUUGCGUGUGCCUGUGCGUGUAUCUGUACGUGUGUGUUUCAGCACGGAGGCCCCCCUUCCUCCUCUCACAGACGCACGCACACACGUGUGUGUGCGAGCAGUCGGAGCCCUCCAUC